CCCGCCCGUCACAUCACGAAAGUGGGUUGUACUAGAAGUCUGCGCGCUAACCCGCAAGGGGGAGGCAGCGGCCCAAGGUAUGACUCAUGAUUGGGGUG
Molecule: ribosomal RNA, 98 nt
Filed under: uncultured bacterium
Lineage: Bacteria
Description: partial 16S ribosomal RNA
Rfam family: Bacterial small subunit ribosomal RNA
Source: RNAcentral